RNAcentral lists this ribosomal RNA (2913 nucleotides) under Pseudomonas aeruginosa LESlike4. Its description in RNAcentral is "bacterial LSU rRNA". It matches the Rfam family "Bacterial large subunit ribosomal RNA". Lineage: Bacteria; Pseudomonadati; Pseudomonadota; Gammaproteobacteria; Pseudomonadales; Pseudomonadaceae. The record is from RNAcentral.
GUUAUAUGGUCAAGUGAAGAAGCGCAUACGGUGGAUGCCUUGGCAGUCAGAGGCGAUGAAAGACGUGGUAGCCUGCGAAAAGCUUCGGGGAGUCGGCAAACAGACUUUGAUCCGGAGAUCUCUGAAUGGGGGAACCCACCUAGGAUAACCUAGGUAUCUUGUACUGAAUCCAUAGGUGCAAGAGGCGAACCAGGGGAACUGAAACAUCUAAGUACCCUGAGGAAAAGAAAUCAACCGAGAUUCCCUUAGUAGUGGCGAGCGAACGGGGAUUAGCCCUUAAGCUUCAUUGAUUUUAGCGGAACGCUCUGGAAAGUGCGGCCAUAGUGGGUGAUAGCCCCGUACGCGAAAGGAUCUUUGAAGUGAAAUCGAGUAGGACGGAGCACGAGAAACUUUGUCUGAACAUGGGGGGACCAUCCUCCAAGGCUAAAUACUACUGACUGACCGAUAGUGAACCAGUACCGUGAGGGAAAGGCGAAAAGAACCCCGGAGAGGGGAGUGAAAUAGAACCUGAAACCGUAUGCGUACAAGCAGUGGGAGCCUACUUGUUAGGUGACUGCGUACCUUUUGUAUAAUGGGUCAGCGACUUAUAUUCAGUGGCAAGCUUAACCGUAUAGGGUAGGCGUAGCGAAAGCGAGUCUUAAUAGGGCGUUUAGUCGCUGGGUAUAGACCCGAAACCGGGCGAUCUAUCCAUGAGCAGGUUGAAGGUUAGGUAACACUGACUGGAGGACCGAACCCACUCCCGUUGAAAAGGUAGGGGAUGACUUGUGGAUCGGAGUGAAAGGCUAAUCAAGCUCGGAGAUAGCUGGUUCUCCUCGAAAGCUAUUUAGGUAGCGCCUCAUGUAUCACUCUGGGGGGUAGAGCACUGUUUCGGCUAGGGGGUCAUCCCGACUUACCAAACCGAUGCAAACUCCGAAUACCCAGAAGUGCCGAGCAUGGGAGACACACGGCGGGUGCUAACGUCCGUCGUGAAAAGGGAAACAACCCAGACCGCCAGCUAAGGUCCCAAAGUUGUGGUUAAGUGGUAAACGAUGUGGGAAGGCUUAGACAGCUAGGAGGUUGGCUUAGAAGCAGCCAUCCUUUAAAGAAAGCGUAAUAGCUCACUAGUCGAGUCGGCCUGCGCGGAAGAUGUAACGGGGCUCAAACCACACACCGAAGCUGCGGGUGUCACGUAAGUGACGCGGUAGAGGAGCGUUCUGUAAGCCUGUGAAGGUGAGUUGAGAAGCUUGCUGGAGGUAUCAGAAGUGCGAAUGCUGACAUGAGUAACGACAAUGGGUGUGAAAAACACCCACGCCGAAAGACCAAGGGUUCCUGCGCAACGUUAAUCGACGCAGGGUUAGUCGGUUCCUAAGGCGAGGCUGAAAAGCGUAGUCGAUGGGAAACAGGUUAAUAUUCCUGUACUUCUGGUUACUGCGAUGGAGGGACGGAGAAGGCUAGGCCAGCUUGGCGUUGGUUGUCCAAGUUUAAGGUGGUAGGCUGAAAUCUUAGGUAAAUCCGGGGUUUCAAGGCCGAGAGCUGAUGACGAGUCGUCUUUUAGAUGACGAAGUGGUUGAUGCCAUGCUUCCAAGAAAAGCUUCUAAGCUUCAGGUAACCAGGAACCGUACCCCAAACCGACACAGGUGGUCGGGUAGAGAAUACCAAGGCGCUUGAGAGAACUCGGGUGAAGGAACUAGGCAAAAUGGCACCGUAACUUCGGGAGAAGGUGCGCCGGCUAGGGUGAAGGAUUUACUCCGUAAGCUCUGGCUGGUCGAAGAUACCAGGCCGCUGCGACUGUUUAUUAAAAACACAGCACUCUGCAAACACGAAAGUGGACGUAUAGGGUGUGACGCCUGCCCGGUGCCGGAAGGUUAAUUGAUGGGGUUAGCGCAAGCGAAGCUCUUGAUCGAAGCCCCGGUAAACGGCGGCCGUAACUAUAACGGUCCUAAGGUAGCGAAAUUCCUUGUCGGGUAAGUUCCGACCUGCACGAAUGGCGUAACGAUGGCGGCGCUGUCUCCACCCGAGACUCAGUGAAAUUGAAAUCGCUGUGAAGAUGCAGUGUAUCCGCGGCUAGACGGAGAGACCCCGUGAACCUUUACUGUAGCUUUGCACUGGACUUUGAGCCUGCUUGUGUAGGAUAGGUGGGAGGCUUUGAAGCGUGGACGCCAGUUCGCGUGGAGCCAUCCUUGAAAUACCACCCUGGCAUGCUUGAGGUUCUAACUCUGGUCCGUGAUCCGGAUCGAGGACAGUGUAUGGUGGGCAGUUUGACUGGGGCGGUCUCCUCCUAAAGAGUAACGGAGGAGUACGAAGGUGCGCUCAGACCGGUCGGAAAUCGGUCGCAGAGUAUAAAGGCAAAAGCGCGCUUGACUGCGAGACAGACACGUCGAGCAGGUACGAAAGUAGGUCUUAGUGAUCCGGUGGUUCUGUAUGGAAGGGCCAUCGCUCAACGGAUAAAAGGUACUCCGGGGAUAACAGGCUGAUACCGCCCAAGAGUUCAUAUCGACGGCGGUGUUUGGCACCUCGAUGUCGGCUCAUCACAUCCUGGGGCUGAAGCCGGUCCCAAGGGUAUGGCUGUUCGCCAUUUUAAAGUGGUACGCGAGCUGGGUUUAGAACGUCGUGAGACAGUUCGGUCCCUAUCUGCCGUGGACGUUUGAGAUUUGAGAGGGGCUGCUCCUAGUACGAGAGGACCGGAGUGGACGAACCUCUGGUGUUCCGGUUGUCACGCCAGUGGCAUUGCCGGGUAGCUAUGUUCGGAAAAGAUAACCGCUGAAAGCAUCUAAGCGGGAAACUUGCCUCAAGAUGAGAUCUCACUGGGAACUUGAUUCCCCUGAAGGGCCGUCGAAGACUACGACGUUGAUAGGCUGGGUGUGUAAGCGUUGUGAGGCGUUGAGCUAACCAGUACUAAUUGCCCGUGAGGCUUGACCAUAUAACACCCAAACA